UACGUAGGGUGCGAGCGUUGUCCGGAAUUAUUGGGCGUAAAGGGCUCGUAGGCGGUUUGUCGCGUCGGGAGUGAAAUCCACUGGCUUAACUGGUGGCUUGCUUUCGAUACGGGCAGACUGGAGGUAUGCAGGGGAGAACGGAAUUCCUGGUGUAGCGGUGAAAUGCGCAGAUAUCAGGAAGAACACCCGUGGCGAAAGCGGCUCUCUGGAACGGUACUGACGCUGAGACGCGAAAGCGUGGGGAGCGAACAGG
Molecule: ribosomal RNA, 253 nt
Filed under: uncultured bacterium
Lineage: Bacteria
Description: partial 16S ribosomal RNA
Rfam family: Bacterial small subunit ribosomal RNA
Source: RNAcentral